UUGGCGAGCAGGGUGGCGUGGUUCAGCGUGCUCAGCUCAUCCACUGCCGGUAUUCCUAGGCAACCGACUAACGGCACGGAAUCUCUCCGCCGGGAGACGAGCACAAUAGCGCGCCAGCGGGCUGAACUACUUAAACUCUGCAAACGCUGAGGAUAUUCCCCUCCGGGUCACGGAGACGCACCCUUGGCCUGGCAACAGUGGGCUAGGCUCUUCCCCCUCAUUGACACGGUGCCACGUCUCUCAUCUCCGACGAAACCUGCUGUUCUGGCUUACCUGGAAUUUGGGACUCUUCUUCGGGAAGUCUGGUUUUAAUAUUGUGUUACAUAUUGACCAACAAGGACCCAGAGUAAUAAACAAUACACUCCACACUGCACCGUCAAGGGGUGUGGAGAACAACACGUCCAGGGGGACGCCCGCAUCUUAAAUUCAUCUUUUAACCUAAGUAUACUGUGUUUUAGAUAGUUUUGUAUGUGUUAUUUUGUUGUUUUGUUUGUUUAUGACGUUUUAAACCUUGACUUGUUUUAAUAAUUUUCUUGUCGUGGGCAGGUGCUGUGGCCCGGAGGCGGGGACCCAAUUCCUGGUGGAGGGAGUUUCUUCACGACCCGUUUUGUUAGAUGUGCUGUGUCACGGGUGGCUUGUUUUCUUAAUCCCUUUCCCCCUUUUGUUUGGUCCUCGUCGCCGCGGUGAGUCACAGCCCUGUCCAAAUACUAUAUAUCUUUUAGCUCAAGUGUUUGGUUUAUUUUGUGUGUUUAUUGUGUUUUGAUUAUUGGUUUAGUUUGUGUGUUUUGAUUAUUGGUUUAUUUUGUGCGUUUAUUGUGUUUUGAUUAUUGGUUUA
Long non-coding RNA from Limanda limanda (common dab), 835 nucleotides. RefSeq lists it as uncharacterized. Lineage: Eukaryota; Metazoa; Chordata; Actinopteri; Pleuronectiformes; Pleuronectidae. The transcript is spliced from 3 exons. The record is from RefSeq and is a predicted model, not a curated record.